RNAcentral lists this long non-coding RNA (840 nucleotides) under Equus caballus (horse). RNAcentral describes it as "lncRNA (ENSECAG00000049359.1)". The record is from RNAcentral. Lineage: Eukaryota; Metazoa; Chordata; Mammalia; Perissodactyla; Equidae.
UCUUUAGACAUCGCAUCAAUUGAAUGAACUAGGCAUCUUUAUUACCCCCAUUUAUGGAUGAGGAAACUGAGGCUCAGAAAGCUGUUUAACUUCCACAAAGCCACACAGCAAGUGUGUGGUUGAGCCGAGUUUGGAAUCCAUGUCUCUCUGAUAUCAAAGCUCCAGGCAUUUAAGUCAAGCAUCAGCUUCCAUGCAGCAGCUCUCCUCCCAGCUUUAUUCCAUCAGCUCAGCAGUUCUGAUGAUGACGCCUCUUUGACUCCACCUGUGGCGCAGCCUGCCUCCAGCCCUCUCCACUUAGCACUCCGUUCAUAUAGGACUCCUGUUGUCCUAAAGAUUUGGUCAGUCCUUCCAGCUCCCAUUAAUCUGGAUUCCUCCAGAGGGCACAGAUUCCUGCUGGCCAUAUUUCGGAUGUAAUUGGCUCCCCACUAAUCAGCUCUGUAAUCUGAGGCAAAGCCUCUCCAUCCUCCCAUUCUAGGACUCACAGUAACCUGUAUACUUCAUUCAAGCUUUGCUGAACUACAAGAAGAGCCAAUUACCUUCUGGCAGCCAUCUUGGAUGAUGAAGUAGCAACCUUGCAGGACGCAAGCCAUGGUCCAGGAUGGCGAGGCAUAAAGAAGGAAGAUGCCUGCAUUCGUGGUGGCAAUUCAGCACAGAAGCAAGAGGCAGAGACUAGCCAGAAGAAGAAUGGGAUGGAGAACUUGCUCUAUCAUCUAUCAAGACUCAUUACAGCGCUAUAGAUGUUAAGACAGUGAGGUACUGGUGCAAGGAUAGACAAGUAGACAAUGGUAAAAAAUGGAAAACCCAGACACAGAGACAUACAUAAAUGAUCACUUAAUUUAU